UUGCCCUAGUAACGGCGAGUGAAGCGGCAACAGCUCAAAUUUGAAAUCUGGCCUCGGCCCGAGUUGUAAUUUGCAGAGGAUGCUUUUGGCGCGGUGCCUUCCGAGUUCCCUGGAACGGGACGCCACAGAGGGUGAGAGCCCCGUAUGGUUGGACACCAAGCCUGUGUAAAGCUCCUUCGACGAGUCGAGUAGUUUGGGAAUGCUGCUCAAAAUGGGAGGUAAAUCUCUUCUAAAGCUAAAUACCGGCCAGAGACCGAUAGCGCACAAGUAGAGUGAUCGAAAGAUGAAAAGCACCUUGAAAAGGGGGUUAAACAGUACGUGAAAUUGUUGAAAGGGAAGCGCUUGUGACCAGACUUGCGCCUGGCGGCUCAUCCGGGGUUCUCUCCGGUGCACUCCGCCAGGCUCAGGCCAGCAUCGGUUCUGGCGGGGGGAUAAGAUCGGCGGGAACGUAGCACCCUCCGGGGUGUGUUAUAGCCCGCCGAACGAUACCCUCGCGGGGACCGAGGUUCGCGCUCCGCAAGGAUGCUGGCGUAAUGGUCAUCAGCGACCCGUCUUGAAACACGGACCAAGGAGUCGUCCAUUAUAGCGAGCGUUUGGGUGUAAAACCCGCACGCGUAAUGAAAGUGAAAUUAGGUGAGAGCUUCGGCGCAUCAUCGACCGAUCCUGAUGUUCUCGGAAGGAUUUGAGUAAGAGUUAUAACGGACGGACCCGAAAGACAGUGAACUAUGCUUGUAUAGGGUGAAGCCAGAGGAAACUCUGGUGGAGGCUCGCAGCGGUUCUGACGUGCAAAUCGAUCGUCAAAUAUGAGCAUGGGGGCGAAAGACUAAUCGAACUGUCUAGUAGCUGGU
RNAcentral lists this ribosomal RNA (848 nucleotides) under Stegonsporium acerophilum. RNAcentral's name for it is "LSU rRNA". It matches the Rfam family "Eukaryotic large subunit ribosomal RNA", at positions 75 to 955 of the family's 3401-position model. Lineage: Eukaryota; Fungi; Ascomycota; Sordariomycetes; Diaporthales; Stilbosporaceae. The record is from RNAcentral.